AGCCGCGUGGCCGAGUGGAUAGGUACAGGUCUGCAACACCUUUUACGUUGGUUCGAGUCCAACCGCGGCGU
Molecule: non-coding RNA, 71 nt
Organism: Sphingobacteriales bacterium 46-32
Lineage: Bacteria; Pseudomonadati; Bacteroidota; Sphingobacteriia; Sphingobacteriales
Source: Rfam